UUCAGGAAUCUCCGCUCCAAAACUCAGUGAGACUACUGUUACUUGAAAAUCCUAGGAUGAUUUCUUUUCUUUUUGGUUCUGAGCUUCGAUACAAGGGGGAUUUUUCAGCUUUUCCUCUAUGUAUUGAAAAGCAUCUCAAGAUCAGCUUAAUCAAUCAGUGGGAAACAACAAAAACACAAAAUGGCUUCUUAUGGAUUAGGUUGAUGCUCAUGUUGUGGAAGAAGAAGAUGGAUAAACAUCAAAUUACCUGGAAGACACAGGAUUGCUGAGGGAACGUGACUUAUGUAUAUAUGUUGUUGAUCAUCUAAAGCUGAUUCAUAACUGUCUAUUAGUUGGUGUUACAACCAUUUACUGUUGCCGAGGAUGAACUGCUUUUGGUACCUGUUGUUUGGGAGUGUUUCCUUAACUUAUAUGCAACACCAAUAAGUUCACUUUCCUCAAGGAGGAUGCAUACUCUGGGAGAUACCACUUUUAGUGGCUUUCUGCACAGUACUCCUGUGAAAUAUCUGAUCUUGUGGCAUCCAGGUGCCAGGUUUUGUGUACGAAGAGAAUCUGGCAUAAAUUCACACCUCAACAAAUUAGCUUCUGAAAGGUUCUUAAGCCGCGAACUGAAUAUGAGUACGAGUUUUGACAAUGCAGAUUUGAACCCCACUCCUAUGAGAAGAUUUAGGAAUACUAAUUCCUUCAAUUCACCCAGAAUAAAGGAGCUUGCUAGACAUUCAAGAACCAAUGGUUCUGCAGAUAACCGAGAAGCUCUGAGAAAUAUUCAAAGUGGGGAUUUUUCUUCUGAUGUUGAGAUUUUGGAACCUCAUGCCAGCAAUCUUGGGAGAAUCGCAAAAGUUAAGGAAUCAGGACAGGGGGGAAACGGUGGCUGUGAGUCGAUCGACCUAAUAAUGGACUUCCAGUUCAGUUUGAAGAUCUCUUCCUUACCUGUUAAGGGAAGGAUGAUUCUCGACCAUCAUAUCAUGAUAGGAGCCGUAUCUUUCCUGUUUGUUACAGAUCUAGUAGGCAUAAUAAGUUAACCAGAUCUCUUUUUGUGUGAUGUACUAAAUGGUGGAAGCUCUGGACCAAUCUUCAAGGUCGGACAAUGUCCUUACUCUGCAUCGGUCAUACCUGAUGCGUUAGUGUUUCGGUGUUGACAUGUGUGGCUGACGAAGUUUCAUAGAGGAAACCUGUGGUGUAAAAGAGGAAAGGCGUGUCAAGACAAUGUCUGAUAUUGUCAUGAAAAAAUGUCGUUAUCUAUUGCGCCAUACUAUUCUUGAAGAUGAGGAAAAAACACUCUGCAAUUUGCUUGGAACAAGAACAACCUCACUAAACCCUUAUGCUAAUGAGGAUGAUGGCAUUCCUGGAUAUCGUGCAAUGGUAUCUCUUGCAUUGGAUUUUUAAAUCAUUGAUUUGAGGUUAGCAGUAGGUUGCGCUGGAUCUUAUGAAGCUUUUCUGGAGGUUGUAUGUGAGGCUUGGCACAACAUACGCACUGCUUAUGGAGACCAGCCAGAUUUGAUGCUUUUCGCUGAGCAAUUAUCUGGAGAUUUUGAGUUGCUGUGUGAAGAAGAGGUGCUUUAUCUCGUACAGAAAAUUAAGGGGCAUGCUUAAGCGCCGCAUCAAGGAAAUCAAUGAGCUUCUUUGUGCAAGGAGAUCCCUAGAGCUUCCUGUGGUGUCUGCAGAUUCUGUGGCAUCAACAAAAGUGAUGAAACUGUGUUACUGUGUGAUCAUUGCGAUUCUGAGUAUCAUAAAAGUAGUUAAGUAAAGGCACCACCCGAUACUCACGUCAUUCAUCAUCGCAAGCGGAAGAGAUAUCAAGGUGAAGGAACUUGUAUUUUCUCAGAGACAAUGAACAAGUUAGCGGCUUCUAUGGAAGAAAAAAGAGUAUUGGAACUAUAGCCUGGAGGAGGUGUAUUCGUGACACCUUAUUUGCAUAUAUUCUCAAGUUUGUUAUGAAGCUGAAUCCCGGAUAGUCCUAUAUCUGUUCAUUGCUAAUAAUUUCUUUUGUAGGCCACGUCAUUAUUGCCCCAUUACAUAAUCAAGAUUGUUUUAUUUAUUUCUACAAGUAACUUCUUAUCUAGUUUUAGAAAAUUAGCAAUUCAAUUCCCCGAAAUUGUUGAAAGGAUCUUUUCGUUGGUGAUACUGUCUGCUCUACCUUUCAGAAACGACCUUCCUUGUUAAUAGAAACCGAUAUCGUCAACCUUUUUGCUUGGUUCUCACUUCUCAGUAAAAGAUUUUGUUAUCGAUUACACCAUGUUGUUUUCUACUAAUAGUAAAGAUGGAUUUUUUCAGAUGUUAAUAAUAAAGCGUCGAAUAUAAGUCCUGAAUUGUUUGAUCAAAACGGUUUAGGCAACUCAGAAAGUUGAAAAGAAUGUUAUGUUAUUUAAUAAAUAUACAUUUUUCCUUCUUCUGGUAGAUGUGCUUAGGGCCUUUUGUGGAUACUUAUGUGGUAUUAAUUCACUUUUUUUGUUGAUGUAGAGGGUCUUCUUGCUGUAAUUUUUGAGCGACCAAGUGUUGGGCUCGGCCAUUGUUUAUGAACACCUUGAUCAAUAUGCCGAAAUGUCAGCUGAUGGGCAGCAGAAACUGCGUUCUUUGUCUAUAAAAAUGAGAAGCAUAAAGUAUAAAGAAGAAGUCCUCACAAAAGAGAGCAAAUUCAUGUUUAAUGUAGUUGGUGAAGCUGGAAAAGUAGCAGUUGCCAGUAUGCUUCUGAACCUUAGCAGGAGUAUGAGUCAACACCAACUUUGAAUAAUAGUUGCAACUUCUGCACACCCUUCUCUGGUAUGAUUCAGCUUGGUGAUGUUGCCGAGGAAAAUGAUUCCAACAAUGUGAAUAAAAUUCUAAUUGGUCAUUUGGGAAGAGGAUCAUUGUAAAGGAAGUAGAAACCAGUGUUUGGCUGCAGAUAGUGAUGGUCGAAAGACAGAUUUGUCUUUCAGUUCAGGAUGGCAAUCUUGUGCUUGAAAGUCUUUUCCCAGAUAAGGCUUCUAAAAGUAGUGAAUCAAACAAACACAGCGAGCCGAGGUACAUCUACCAGCUACCCAGCUGUUAUUGGGUUUUCGUCAUGGGUCUACUAUGAUUCUGAUGUAGAAUAGUAGCGAUCCAAGAGAGAGAGAAAGAGAGAGUUAAAGGAAUCGAUUCUGCAGAUGCACAGGUUGAAGUCUUAGUCCUCUCAACAAGCUGGAAAUCCUAUACUUGAUGACAGGCAACUGGGUUGAGGUCUUUUGAUGGGGGGAAGGGUGGAACCUCUCUUGCAACCUAAGCUUCAGUGAUGUAUGUAUGGUCCAUGCAUGGAGCCAGAAACCUCCGAAUCUCUGAUAUCAUCCCUAAGAGGCGGGUUAGGAAGUUGAAAGCAACUUAUGAUGAUAAAUAUAUAGGUGUGAAUGCUAGAACUGGUCUGGCCUUCCAGACCCCUUACUUGCCAUCAGACCUCUUGCACCAAAUCGGAACUCGAGGGCAUAAUAAUGGGAAAUGCAACUCCUAAUUACCAUCCAGUGAUGAAAGCAAGGAAACUGAUGAUCACACAAAAGGGAAAAGGAAAGUAAGCACCAACCGUGAGGAGCAUGCAUGUGAAACAAGCAGAAUUGAGGCAUCAAAGAGUGGAAAAUUAGACACUCGUUCUAGAGUGAUAAAAUUUCAAAAGAAGGAAAUGGUUUGUCCAUGUUACCUGGAGGAGAUUAAAAAAACUUCAUCACGAUGAGGCCAACAAGGAAUUAGUGAAAGGAAUAGGACUCAUUGGUUCAGAUGGGAUUCCAUCCCUUGUCCCAUCCACAUCUCUGUAUCUCCAUGAUCCAACACUAAUUUUGAACAUUGUCCAACGGAAAGAAGCUGAAAAAGGUACUAGGUGUAACAUUAUGGAGGAGGUAUGUCAACAGAAAAACAAGACUGUAUCAGUUGAUAAAAAUCCCACAGACUCCGCAAAAUGAAGUGUUAAGAACGGUCUCAAGGAGGAACAGCCAAGAGCCAAGGUAUCAGUUUAAGAAAGUUCAAACAAGAAAGAUCCAGAAUCUUCAAAGAAGAAAACUCCAGCGCCUAAGGGUCCCAGCUGUGCAGUGCCUGAACGUUCAUUGAGGCAUGUGGUGGGAAAGGUUGCUCCAAUUUUAAGGCAGCUCAAGAGUAACUUACUCUAUAUGGAUGCUGCUCUUCCAGAAGAAGCACUCAGGCCACUAAAGUCUGACUCACUAAAAGGUUCUGUUUGGCGUGCAUUUACUAAAUCUGCGGAGUCAGUAAUUGAGGCACAGGAUAGCUGAGGGAAGAUGUACUUAUGUAUAUGUUGAGCAUCUAAAGGUGAUUCAUAACCGUCUCUUAGUUGGUGUCCAACCUUGUACUGGUUGGCGAAGGAUGAACUGCUGAUUAAAGUUUAAAGAUAUUUCUGCUGAUUGAAAGUCUUGGAGUAUCGGCUUAACUCAUCUCAUAGACCAAUAAGUUUACUUUUCUACAAAGAGGUAGAAAUCAAAACGUACUAGUGCUGAAUUUCAUUUUUGUGAUGCCUUUGGAUUCAUAUACUCUUGUUAAUACAACAUUGUCACAUCGGCUGGAUUAGGUUGUUGCUCAUGCUGCGGAAGAAGCUAGAGAAAACCAUUUCGACACCAAAUUUUAAAGUAAGAGGAGAAUCAAGUUUGACUUUGGAGGGUAUUGGUUAUUUGGAGAAUCAAGUUUGACUUUGGAGGGUAUUGGUUAUUUUCAACAGUCAAAUAGAAGUUCUCUUGAUUAAGUUGUCAUUGUCUUUCAUUUUGUAACUUUUGAAAUUGUAAAUGAGAGGAUAGGCAAUUGUGAA
Papaver somniferum (opium poppy) is the source of this 4753-nucleotide long non-coding RNA. RefSeq lists it as uncharacterized. The transcript is spliced from 7 exons. NCBI's taxonomy places the organism in Eukaryota, Viridiplantae, Streptophyta, Magnoliopsida, Ranunculales, Papaveraceae. The record is from RefSeq and is a predicted model, not a curated record.